CUACGGGGUGCACCAGUGGGGAAUAUUGCACAAUGGACGAAAGUCUGAUGCAGCAACGCCGCGUGGAGGAUGACACAUUUCGGUGCGUAAACUCCUUUUAUAUGAGAAGAUAAUGACGGUAUCAUAUGAAUAAGCACCGGCUAACUCCGUGCCAGCAGCCGCGGUAAUACGGGGGGUGCAAGCGUUACUCGGAAUCACUGGGCGUAAAGAGCAUGUAGGCGGAUUAAUAAGUUGGAAGUGAAAUCCUAUAGCUUAACUAUAGAACUGCUUCCAAAACUGUUGAUCUAGAAUAUGGGAGAGGUAGAUGGAAUUUCUGGUGUAGGGGUAAAAUCCGUAGAGAUCAGAAGGAAUACCGAUUGCGAAGGCGAUCUACUGGAACAUUAUUGACGCUCAGAUGCGAAAGCGUGGGGAGCAAACAGGAUUAGAUACCCGAGUAGUC
Molecule: ribosomal RNA, 439 nt
Filed under: uncultured bacterium
Lineage: Bacteria
Description: partial 16S ribosomal RNA
Rfam family: Bacterial small subunit ribosomal RNA
Source: RNAcentral